CAAACCCGAGGAAGGUGGGGAUGACGUCAAGUCAUCAUGGCCCUUACGGCCUGGGCUACACACGUGCUACAAUGGUCGGUACAAAGGGUUGCCAAGCCGCGAGGUGGAGCUAAUCCAUAAACCGAUCGUAGUCCGGAUCGCAGUCUGCAACUCGACUGCGUGAAGUCGGAAUCGCUAGUAAUCGUGAAUCAGAAUGUCACGGUGAAUACGUUCCCGGGCCUU
Molecule: ribosomal RNA, 222 nt
Filed under: uncultured Pseudomonas sp.
Lineage: Bacteria; Pseudomonadati; Pseudomonadota; Gammaproteobacteria; Pseudomonadales; Pseudomonadaceae
Description: partial 16S ribosomal RNA
Rfam family: Bacterial small subunit ribosomal RNA
Source: RNAcentral